AUUGAACGCUGGCGGCAGGCCUAACACAUGCAAGUCGAGCGAGCGGCGGACGGGGGAGUAAUAUAUGGGGAAUGCACGCUAGAGGGGGGUAACUACUGGAAGCGGUAGCUAAUACCGCAUACUAUCGGAUAACGCACAUGGGAUUAGCGAUUGGGUGGGGUAAUGGCUCACCAAGGCGACGAUCCCUAGCUGGUCUGAGAGGAUGAUCAGCCACACUGGGACUGAGACACGGCCCAGACUCCUACGGAGGCAGCAGUGGGGAAUAUUGCACAAUGGGCGCAAGCCUGAUGCAGCCAUGCCGCGUGUAUGAAGAAGGCCCUAGGGUUGUAAAGUACUUUCAGUCGGGAGGCGUUACCGACAGAAGAAGCACCGGCUAACUCCGUGCCAGCAGCCGCGGUAAUAC
This 403-nucleotide ribosomal RNA is filed under the name uncultured bacterium. RNAcentral describes it as "partial 16S ribosomal RNA". It matches the Rfam family "Bacterial small subunit ribosomal RNA", at positions 30 to 526 of the family's 1533-position model. The record is from RNAcentral.